CCUACGGGGGGCUGCAGUGAGGAAUAUUGGUCAAUGGACGAGAGUCUGAACCAGCCAAGUAGCGUGAAGGAUGACUGCCCUAUGGGUUGUAAACUUCUUUUAUAUGGGAAUAAAAUGUUCCACGUGUGGGAUUUUGUAUGUACCAUAUGACUAAGGAUCGGCUAACUCCGUGCCAGCAGCCGCGGUAAUACGGAGGAUCCGAGCGUUAUCCGGAUUUAUUGGGUUUAAAGGGAGCGUAGGUGGAUUGUUAAGUCAGUUGUGAAAGUUUGCGGCUCAACCGUAAAAUUGCAGUUGAAACUGGCAGUCUUGAGUACAGUAGAGGUGGGCGGAAUUCGUGGUGUAGCGGUGAAAUGCUUAGAUAUCACGAAGAACUCCGAUUGCGAAGGCAGUUCACUGGACUGCAACUGACACUGAGGCUCGAAAGUGUGGGUAUCAAACAGGAUUAGAUACCCGAGUAGUC
This 460-nucleotide ribosomal RNA is filed under the name uncultured bacterium. Its description in RNAcentral is "partial 16S ribosomal RNA". It matches the Rfam family "Bacterial small subunit ribosomal RNA", at positions 338 to 795 of the family's 1533-position model. The record is from RNAcentral.